RNAcentral lists this ribosomal RNA (433 nucleotides) under uncultured bacterium. Its description in RNAcentral is "partial 16S ribosomal RNA". It matches the Rfam family "Bacterial small subunit ribosomal RNA", at positions 29 to 507 of the family's 1533-position model. The record is from RNAcentral.
AACGAACGCUGGCGGCAUGCCUAACACAUGCAAGUCGAACGAGACCUUCGGGUCUAGUGGCGCACGGGUGCGUAACGCGUGGGAACCUGCCUUUAGGUUCGGAAUAACUCAGAGAAAUUUGAGCUAAUGCCGGAUGAUGUCUUCGGACCAAAGAUCUAUCGCCUUUAGAUGGGCCCGCGUUGGAUUAGCUAGUUGGUGGGGUAAAGGCCUACCAAGGCGACGAUCCAUAGCUGGUCUGAGAGGAUGAUCAGCCACACUGGGACUGAGACACGGCCCAGACUCCUACGGGAAGCAGCAGUGGGGAAUAUUGGACAAUGGGCGAAAGCCUGAUCCAGCAAUGCCGCGUGAGUGAUGAAGGCCUUAGGGUUGUAAAGCUCUUUUACCCGAGAUGAUAAUGACAGUAUCGGGAGAAUAAGCUCCGGCUAACUCCGUG